AUGGCGGCCUUGGCCUGUGCAUCUAAUGUGCGCAGCCUCCUCCUCCACCCCGGCGACGGAGCUCCGGCGAGAUCCUUCUACUCCCAGCCCUACCAACCCAAGGUAGGCGUGGUGGAGUUCUUGAAUGGGGUCGGCAAGGGGGUGGAGACGCACGCCGCGAAGCUGGAGGAGGCCGUAGGAGGCGAUCUCCAGAGGCUGCUCGAGACCCGCACGCUACGGCUCAAGAAACUCGGCGUCCCCUGCAAGCAUUUUCAGAGAAGGCUUGAUGUGGUUUUGCUGGCUACACCCUGCUUCUUGGGGCAUUUCGUUGUGUAA
RNAcentral lists this ribosomal RNA (315 nucleotides) under Triticum aestivum (bread wheat). Its description in RNAcentral is "partial small subunit ribosomal RNA". Lineage: Eukaryota; Viridiplantae; Streptophyta; Magnoliopsida; Poales; Poaceae. The record is from RNAcentral.